RNAcentral lists this ribosomal RNA (525 nucleotides) under Zarea flavida. RNAcentral describes it as "SSU rRNA". It matches the Rfam family "Eukaryotic small subunit ribosomal RNA", at positions 30 to 558 of the family's 1831-position model. The record is from RNAcentral. Lineage: Eukaryota; Fungi; Ascomycota; Sordariomycetes; Hypocreales; Cordycipitaceae.
GCUUGUCUCAAAGAUUAAGCCAUGCAUGUCUAAGUAUAAGCAAUUAUACAGCGAAACUUGCGAAUGGCUCAUUAUAUAAGUUAUCGUUUAUUUGAUAGUACCUUACUACUUGGAUAACCGUGGUAAUUCUAGAGCUAAUACAUGCUAAAAAUCCCGACUUCGGAAGGGAUGUAUUUAUUAGAUUAAAAACCAAUGCCCUCUGGGCUCCUUGGUGAUUCAUAAUAACUUUUCGAAUCGCAUGGCCUUGUGCCGGCGAUGGUUCAUUCAAAUUUCUUCCCUAUCAACUUUCGAUGUUUGGGUAUUGGCCAAACAUGGUCGCAACGGGUAACGGAGGGUUAGGGCUCGACCCCGGAGAAGGAGCCUGAGAAACGGCUACUACAUCCAAGGAAGGCAGCAGGCGCGCAAAUUACCCAAUCCCGAUUCGGGGAGGUAGUGACAAUAAAUACUGAUACCAGGGCUCUUUUGGGUCUUGUAAUUGGAAUGAGUACAAUUUAAAUCUCUUAACGAGGAACAAUUGGAGGGCAA